RNAcentral lists this ribosomal RNA (560 nucleotides) under uncultured eukaryote. Its description in RNAcentral is "SSU rRNA". It matches the Rfam family "Eukaryotic small subunit ribosomal RNA", at positions 611 to 1188 of the family's 1831-position model. The record is from RNAcentral.
GUUGUUGCAGUUAAAAAGCUCGUAGUUGAACCUUGGGUCUGGCUGGCCGGUCCGCCUCACCGCGAGUACUGGUCCGGCUGGACCUUUCCUUCUGGGGAACCUCAUGGCCUUCACUGGCUGUGGGGGGAACCAGGACUUUUACUGUGAAAAAAUUAGAGUGUUCAAAGCAGGCCUUUGCUCGAAUACAUUAGCAUGGAAUAAUAGAAUAGGACGUGCGGUUCUAUUUUGUUGGUUUCUAGGACCGCCGUAAUGAUUAAUAGGGAUAGUCGGGGGCGUCAGUAUUCAGCUGUCAGAGGUGAAAUUCUUGGAUUUGCUGAAGACUAACUACUGCGAAAGCAUUCGCCAAGGAUGUUUUCAUUAAUCAGGGAACGAAAGUUAGGGGAUCGAAGACGAUCAGAUACCGUCGUAGUCUUAACCAUAAACUAUGCCGACUAGGGAUCGGGCGGUGUUUCUAUGAUGACCCGCUCGGCACCUUACGAGAAAUCAAAGUUUUUGGGUUCUGGGGGGAGUAUGGUCGCAAGGCUGAAACUAAAGAAAUKACGAACGUWCCAACMAWAUGC